GUCGCCUCCUAAAAGGUAACGGAGGCGCUCAAAGGUUCCCUCAGAAUGGUUGGAAAUCAUUCAUAGAGUGUAAAGGCAUAAGGGAGCUUGACUGCGAGACCUACAAGUCGAGCAGGGUCGAAAGACGGACUUAGUGAUCCGGUGGUUCCGCAUGGAAGGGCCAUCGCUCAACGGAUAAAAGCUACCCCGGGGAUAACAGGCUUAUCUCCCCCAAGAGUUCACAUCGACGGGGAGGUUUGGCACCUCGAUGUCGGCUCA
Molecule: ribosomal RNA, 258 nt
Filed under: Staphylococcus aureus
Lineage: Bacteria; Bacillati; Bacillota; Bacilli; Caryophanales; Staphylococcaceae
Description: partial 23S ribosomal RNA
Rfam family: Bacterial large subunit ribosomal RNA
Source: RNAcentral